GACGAAGGGGGCUAGCGUUGUUCGGAAUUACUGGGCGUAAAGCGCGUGUAGGCGGUUGUUCAAGUCAGGUGUGAAAGCCCUGGGCUCAACCCAGGAAGUGCACUCGAAACUGCAAGGCUAGAGUACUGGAGAGGUUGGUGGAAUUCUCGGUGUAGAGGUGAAAUUCGUAGAUAUCGAGAGGAACACCGGUGGCGAAGGCGGCCAACUGGACAGAUACUGACGCUGAGACUCGAAAGCGUGGGGAGCAAACAGG
RNAcentral lists this ribosomal RNA (253 nucleotides) under uncultured bacterium. RNAcentral's name for it is "partial 16S ribosomal RNA". It matches the Rfam family "Bacterial small subunit ribosomal RNA", at positions 524 to 776 of the family's 1533-position model. The record is from RNAcentral.